GCCAGGAUAGCUCAGUUGGUAGAGCAGAGGACUGAAAAUCCACCGAGCAUGUAUUGAUUCAAAUACCUGGUUCCUGGCA
Molecule: transfer RNA, 79 nt
Filed under: Triticum aestivum (bread wheat)
Lineage: Eukaryota; Viridiplantae; Streptophyta; Magnoliopsida; Poales; Poaceae
Rfam family: tRNA
About the family: Transfer RNA (tRNA) molecules are approximately 80 nucleotides in length.
Source: Rfam by way of RNAcentral